UUAAAUAAAAAUCGGCGUUGUUGCUGCCUUUCGUGGUGACGCGUCAGAAUUGGGUCGUCUUAACCUUUCGGUUUAAGUGACUUAAAAUUUUUGCAUGAUUUUCGAACGUAUUUAAAAUUGCUUUACGUACGUUUGAGAUCUCGAAUUUAUUGGGUCCAGUCAUCUUCAUGACUCGCGCCUAUAAUUUUUCAUU
Molecule: unclassified non-coding RNA, 193 nt
Filed under: uncultured Glomus
Lineage: Eukaryota; Fungi; Glomeromycota; Glomeromycetes; Glomerales; Glomeraceae
Description: sequence contains ITS2
Source: RNAcentral